This is a non-coding RNA of Pelobates cultripes (western spadefoot toad), 714 nucleotides long. Lineage: Eukaryota; Metazoa; Chordata; Amphibia; Anura; Pelobatidae. The record is from the annotation of a GenBank genome assembly.
GAUUUUUUUUUGUAUCUAAAAAGGACGGUGAGUUGCGCCCAUGUAUCGAUUACAGGGCAUUGAACAAAAUCACCAUUAAGAACGCCUACCCCAUUCCUCUUAUUGCUGAAUUAUUUGAUAGACUCCAAGGUGCUAAAGUAUUUACUAAGCUUGAUCUUAGAAGUGCUUACAAUUUAGUGAGAAUCAAGGAAAACCACGAGUGGAAGACUGCAUUUAAUACCAGAAGUGGACACUAUGAAUAUCUAGUGAUGCCAUUCGGGUUGUGCAAUGCUCCAGCGGUUUUCCAAGAUUUCAUAAAUGAUAUACUCAGGGAUUACAUUUACUUGUUUGUCUUGGUCUAUCUGGAUGAUAUCCUUAUUUAUUCUCCUGACAUUCAAACUCACCAUGAUCACGUUAGACAAGUUCUGCAGACCUUGUAAAAGAAUCAACUUUAUUGUAAAUUAGAAAAAUGCAUCUUUGACCAAUCUGAAGUACAGUAUUUUGGGAUAUAAUAUCUCUGCCUCGGUGUUUCAGAUGGAUCGUAAAAAGCUGGAAUCGGUUCUACAAUGGCCUUUACCCACUGGGUUGACGCCUUAUCCAGACAAUUUGAUACAGAGUCUAUACAAGAGCAAGAAAAGUCCCAUAUCAUUCCCCCAGAAUGUAUAAUUGCCACCACUAUCCUUUCAUUGUCCUCUCCGCUGCUUGGCUCCAUCAUGGAGGCUCAGUCUCAGGCGC